Molecule: long non-coding RNA, 2470 nt
Organism: Drosophila biarmipes
Lineage: Eukaryota; Metazoa; Arthropoda; Insecta; Diptera; Drosophilidae
Exons: 5
Source: RefSeq, a predicted model, not a curated record
CUUUUGCUGAAUGAAAUUUAGCUGGCUUUUUUCAAAACGCAAGACACCUACAUUGUGUCGCAAUCGCCCAAUGGCUUCAGGCUUAAGAUCUGUUGCCAAAUUUUUAAAAAAACGAAUGGCUGUUUUCUGUAUGGGCGUUUCCCACGCGGUCACACGGUCGAGGCCAGCGAGAAAGAGUACGCACCUGUGACAUCUAGAGCUGCAAAAAAUCGAUAGUACCAUCGAUAAUAUCGAUGGUUGGCCGCUGGUCACCGACUUCGGUAUUUUUCAGACUAUCGCGAUAGUUUUACAAAAAAUUCCCAUCACUUGGACUUCGAAGGAACAAGAAGUUUUCGACAGAAAUAUUCAGAUUCUGGUGGUUGUGGUGUUGUUGUGGUUCCUUAAAAAUAAAUGGCGGUGCAAAAAGUUUCAGGUCCCCCUUUAAUGCAGAGCAAGCCGUAUCUUUGCUAGAAAAAACACUUUCUUCUCUACCCCAUACCAACAAGGAACCCAUUUUAACCACCCAACCACCGGAACCACCAAAACCGAAAUCUUCGCUCCUCAAUUUUGUAAAACAAAACAUAGAGCUUAAACAGAGGUCUAGCAAUGUUAAGUUGAUAAUGCAAAUAAGGCAGUAUUUUGAAAAAAUGAACAUUGAUUAAAAUCAGGGCCCAUUGGAAUACUGGAAGCAACAUGAAUUAGAGAUGUCCCAAAUGGCUAUAAGCGCUAAGCAGGGGCUCUGCAUUCCGGCAACCUCGACAGAAGCCACCUACCGGCUAUUUUGGUAUAUAAUAUUUGGGCGUUAGAGUGGGAGUGGCACCCCGUUGAAAGACGCAUCAUAAAAAAAAUAAGUCUACAAGAAAAUUAAGUGUUGGCGAUAUUUUUUCUAAAGCAAAAUGAGUAACCAUAUUGAAUGUACGAAAAGUUAAUUAGAUUUACUUUCACCACACCCCUCACAAUGUUAUAUUCUAAGAACUGAAGAAGUCUCAUAUAAUCCAAUUGCUUCCUUGGACGGCGCCUCCUCAAUCUAAUUUGUUUGCGUAGGAAAUGGGGAAACGUACCGGGAUUUAUCAAGUGUUUACCUACGACUUGUAGUGCAACUUAGAAAAAAUGAUAACAACGUUAUCGAAGGAAAUGCUGUCGGUGUAGUUAACAAUAAUUUACUUUCAAUAUUUAGAAGUUCCUCAGUUUAUUUAAAUAAUAUUGUGGUAUCGCAGAGUGAUAAUAAUUAUCAUUAUAAAGCGUAUUUGCAAAAAAUGUUAAACUAUGGGAGUGAUGCCUGUGGAAGUUAUUUGGCCUCUCAAGGUUAUUUCCCACAUUUUGGAAGAAUAACAGCUGGGAAAUAUGUUUAUCCCUACACGAAUGAAACUCUUAAAAAUGUAUUCCAAAAUAAUAAUAAGGUUGAAUUAUUCGGAAAAAUUUAUGGAGAUAUAUUUAAUCAAAACAAACUGCUUGUUAAUAAUGUUGAUUUAAGAAUUAAUUUCCAUAUUGAAAAAACAGCAUUUUAUUUAAUGGAAACCGACACUGAAUCAAAUGUAAAGAUACUAGAAGCACAACUUUUUAUGAAUCACAUAAUAAUUAACCCCAGCAUUUUAUUGGCUCAUCAUCAUGUUCUACAAACAAAAAAUGCUCUAUACCCAUUUAGCAAAGCCGAAGUCAAAUCUUUUACAAUUUAUCCGGGCAACAAUAAACUAUCAAUAGAUAACGCAGUUAUUGGUCAGCUACCAAAUUUUCUGUCUUUUUGUAUGGUUAAAAACCGUAAAUACUCAGAAAACCGGACCUUAGACCCGUUUAACUUUGAACAUUUCAAAAUUCAACGCUUUAAUCUAUUGGUUAAUGGACUUCAAGUUCUUCCCAGUCUUUAGAAUUUGAUUUCUCUAAUCCGGAAAAGGUUUAAAGCUCCAGAGGUUAUAAUAUGCUAUUUAGAUCAUGUGGAAUAAAACAUUACGAUCGUGGACUGCAAAUUACAUAGGAAAUGUUUGAUACAAACAGUUUUAUAUUACCCUUUGACUUAACUGCUGAUCAAUCAAAUUCAUAUGUAUAUUCAAAUUUGAUCUCGAAAGGAAGGAAGAUUUUCGCAAUCACUUACUGAAGCACUUACUUGUUUAGUAUACUGUGAACACGAUUCCAUGCUUGAUAUUGAUAAACAUAGAAACAUUCGAACGCUUUUUUAAAAUAAAUAAUUUACAAAUUCAACAUUUGCUGUCUAAGCAUCACAAAAAAAAAAACGAUAUAUUUUUAAAGGAGUCUUUCCUUUGGACCAGAUACCAAAAUCUAUUUUAAAGUAUCCCGCUUUAAUAAUUGCGAAUACCGCUACUUCAGAUCAGAAAGGAGCUCAUUGGAUUGCAUUAUAUUUUGAUAGUCGCAGGUUAGCAGAAUUUUUCGAUUCAUAUGGAUAAUAUCCCCAGAAAAAAUAAUUUGUAACAUUUUUAAAAUCUAGCGCCUACAAAUAUUUUUAUAAUAAACAACAUUUACAAGGAUAUUUUUCUAA